This 504-nucleotide ribosomal RNA is filed under the name uncultured bacterium. Its description in RNAcentral is "bacterial SSU rRNA". It matches the Rfam family "Bacterial small subunit ribosomal RNA", at positions 18 to 518 of the family's 1533-position model. The record is from RNAcentral.
CAUGGCUCAGGAUGAACGCUAGCGGAACGCCUAACACAUGCAAGUCGAACGGAUUCUGCGUUGUAGCAAUACAUAGUAGAAUUAGUGGCAAACGAGCGAGUAACGCGUGCCUAACCUGCCCUUAAGAUGGGAACAACUACGGAGACGUAGCUAAAUCCCAAUAUGCUCACGAUGGUGAAAUGCCGAUGCGAGGAAAGAUUUAUCGCUUAAGGAGGGGGGCGGCGUCCUAUCAGGUAGUUGGUUGAGGUAACGGCUCACCAAGCCUAUGACAGGUAGCUGGUCUGAGAUGAUGUCCACGCCGCGAGUGGGACUGAGAUACCGGCCCAUACUCCGUACGGGAGGCAGCAGGUGGGGAAUUCUUGCACAAGUGGAACGAAAGUCUGAAUGCAGCGACUCCCGCGUAGGAAGGAUGAAGCAGUUACGGUGUAGUAAACUUCUUUUUGGUGGAAGACGAAUGACGGUACACCAAGAAUAAGAGACGGCUAACUACGUGCCAGCCGCCGC